CUGCUGGCCGGCCGGCAGCAGCGCCGCUCGGAGGCCGCUCCCAGGCGAGGAGAGGAGCGAGCUUCACCUGGCAGAUGGGCCCGGGGGCCCGACCUCCCAGGCUCUCCCCGACUCCCCCCAGAGCUGGAAGACCUGCCGGGCGGGCGCCGAGGACCCCCCAGCGAGCCUCCCCGCCCCAGUGGACACUGUGUCCUGACGCCCAGCCCGGAGCCCGGGGUUCAGAGCGCGGGCUGAGCCAGGCAAACCUCCUCAACCUGCCCAAAGGGACGGGAGCCCUCCAUCCGGAGAAGGCGCCAGGGAAAAGGACGCUGUGCUUCCUCGGCUUCCCACCCGGCCCCUCGUGCUGCGCUCAGCUCUGGAGCCCAGAGAGGGUGGUGGAGCCGCCCAGCUCCCUGCGGCUCCUCGGUCCGGUCAGACAGGAGCUUGGUCCCCAGAGCCAAGCGAAUGUGGCAGGAAAUCUCAUUUCUUUCCCUUUUAGUGCACGAGUUUGAGGACUGUUCAACAAAGUCUCGGUUUUCUCAUCGGUAAAAGGCAACAAUUUCCAGGGUGGGCCAUCAGGAGGACUGGGGAUACAUUAUAAGAUCAAUAGCACUGAGUGCUUGGUAGCUAGUACUGGUACUGAGGUCACUACUGGUUUCAUAGUCCUUUGACCUUUCUUAUGCUAAUGCUUUUCAGCAGGCAGGUGGGUGUUCUGGGUUGAAAAGUGUGGGGUGUGGCCUGCCCUGUGAGUGUGAGUUCCCCAACCUGGUCACCUCCUUGUUCUCAACUCCCCGUCUGCAAGGGGAGGGGUGGCAGCUGCUUGCUUCCCCUGCUCAUGCCCUGACCCAGCCAAAGGCCUGGCACAGCUGCUGGAGUGGCCCAAAUGCCUUGGGUUUAGGGCUAGGUAGAG
This 889-nucleotide long non-coding RNA is filed under the name Marmota monax (woodchuck). Lineage: Eukaryota; Metazoa; Chordata; Mammalia; Rodentia; Sciuridae. The record is from RNAcentral.